AUAAAAGCAGGGAUCUGUGACCAUUUGUGAGCAGGUCUCUCGUAAACUUCAGGGACAGAAACCGGCAAUGUUAUUGGGUGAACCUACUGAGUUAUACCAAUGAUUGAUGGUUCAGUAAACAAUGCUACAUUU
Salvia miltiorrhiza (redroot sage) is the source of this 132-nucleotide small nucleolar RNA. RefSeq annotates it as small nucleolar RNA snoR74. NCBI's taxonomy places the organism in Eukaryota, Viridiplantae, Streptophyta, Magnoliopsida, Lamiales, Lamiaceae. The record is from RefSeq and is a predicted model, not a curated record. The transcript has a single exon.